GUAGGUGAACCUGCGGAAGGAUCAUUAACGCGCAGGCCGGAGGCUGGCCCCCCACGAUAGGGCCAAACGUCCGUCAGGGGUGAGCAGAUGUGCGCCGGCCGUACCGCCCCAUUCUUGUCUACAUUACUCGGUUGCCUCGGCGGGCCGCGCUCUCCCAGGAGAGCCGUUCGGCGAGCCUCUCUUUAGUGGCUAAACGCUGGACCGCGCCCGCCGGAGGACAGACGCAAAAAAAUUCUUUCAGAAGAGCUGUCAGUCUGAGCGUUAGCAAGCAAAAAUCAGUUAAAACUUUCAACAACGGAUCUCUUGGUUCCGGCAUCGAUGAAGAACGCAGCGAAAUGCGAUAAGUAAUGUGAAUUGCAGAAUUCCGUGAAUCAUCGAAUCUUUGAACGCACAUUGCGCCCCCUGGCAUUCCGGGGGGCAUGCCUGUUCGAGCGUCAUUUCAGCCCCUCAAGCCCGGCUUGUGUGAUGGACGACCGUCCGGCGCCCCCGUCUUUGGGGGUGCGGGACGCGCCCGAAAAGCAGUGGCCAGGCCGCGAUCCGGCUUCCUAGGCGAAUGGGCAACAAACCAGCGCCUCCGGACCGGCCGCCCGGCCUCAAAUCUGUUUUAACUUUACGGUGAACCGGUACGAGUG
This 632-nucleotide unclassified non-coding RNA is filed under the name Trichophyton mentagrophytes. Its description in RNAcentral is "contains 16S-23S intergenic spacer region". The stretch from base 284 to 437 matches the Rfam family "5.8S ribosomal RNA". Lineage: Eukaryota; Fungi; Ascomycota; Eurotiomycetes; Onygenales; Arthrodermataceae. The record is from RNAcentral.